AUUGAACGCUGGCGGCAUGCCUUACACAUGCAAGUCGAACGGCAGCACGGGAGCAAUCCUGGUGGCGAGUGGCGAACGGGUGAGUAAUAUAUCGGAACGUGCCCAGUCGUGGGGGAUAACGUAGCGAAAGCUACGCUAAUACCGCAUACGAUCUAUGGAUGAAAGCGGGGGGAUCGCAAGACCUCGCGCGAUUGGAGCGGCCGAUAUCAGAUUAGGUAGUUGGUGAGGUAAAGGCUCACCAAGCCGACGAUCUGUAGCUGGUCUGAGAGGACGACCAGCCACACUGGGACUGAGACACGGCCCAGACUCCUACGGGAGGCAGCAGUGGGGAAUUUUUGGACAAUGGGCGCAAGCCUGAUCCAGCAAUGCCGCGUGCAGGAUGAAGGCCUUC
Molecule: ribosomal RNA, 391 nt
Filed under: uncultured bacterium
Lineage: Bacteria
Description: bacterial SSU rRNA
Rfam family: Bacterial small subunit ribosomal RNA
Source: RNAcentral